RNAcentral lists this ribosomal RNA (215 nucleotides) under uncultured bacterium. RNAcentral describes it as "partial 16S ribosomal RNA". It matches the Rfam family "Bacterial small subunit ribosomal RNA", at positions 302 to 526 of the family's 1533-position model. The record is from RNAcentral.
GCCCUCCCUCGCCGCCAUCAGACUCCUACGGGAGGCAGCAGUAAGGAACAUUGGUCAAUGGGCGGAAGCCUGAACCAGCCAUGCCGCGUGCAGGAAGACGGCCCUACGGGUUGUAAACUGCUUUUAUACGGGAAUAAACCCUGGUACGUGUACCAGGCUGAAUGUACUGUAAGAAUAAGGAUCGGCUAACUCCGUGCCAGCAGCCGCGGUAAUAC